GAUGAACGCUAGCGGGAGGCUUAACACAUGCAAGUCGAGGGGCAGCAUAGGGUAGCAAUACUCUGAUGGCGACCGGCAAACGGGUGAGUAACGCGUAUGCAACCUACCCUGUACAGGGGGAUAACCCGGAGAAAUUCGGACUAAUAUCCCGUAAUAAUAUCCGGAGGCAUCUUUGGAUAUUUAAAGUUCCGACGGUACGGGAUGGGCAUGCGUAACAUUAGCUGGUUGGUAAGGUAACGGCUUACCAAGGCUAUGAUGUUUAGGGGUCCUGAGAGGGUGGUCCCCCACACUGGUACUGAGACACGGACCAGACUCCUACGGGAGGCAGCAGUGAGGAAUAUUGGUCAAUGGGCGCAAGCCUGAACCAGCCAUCCCGCGUGCAGGAAGACGGCCCUAUGGGUUGUAAACUGCUUUUCCAGGGAGAGAAACUUACGCACGUGUUGCGUGACUGACGGUACCCUGGGAAUAAGCAUCGGCUAACUCCGUGCCAGCAGCCGCGGUAAACGUAGCGUG
RNAcentral lists this ribosomal RNA (513 nucleotides) under uncultured bacterium. Its description in RNAcentral is "bacterial SSU rRNA". It matches the Rfam family "Bacterial small subunit ribosomal RNA", at positions 28 to 534 of the family's 1533-position model. The record is from RNAcentral.